GGAAGGGGGGGCCGGGCAGCCUCGGCGGGGACACCGGGCCCUUCCCCGGCGGGCGGCGGGCGGCGGGCGGCGGCAGGAGGGGGCGCUGCGGGGCUCGCGGGCGCGGCACAGAGGAAGUGCCGUCUUCGCCGCCGCGCCACGGGGUCGCCUCCGGCGCGGGCCGCGAUGUCGUCCCGGUCGGGGCGCGACGACGCGGGGGCCGGGGGCGCGCGGCGGCCGCGGGAGCCGCCCGAGCAGGAGCUGCAGCGGCGCCGGGAGCAGAAGCGGCGGCGGCACGACGCGCAGCAGCUGCAGCAGCUCAAGCACCUGGAGUCCUUUUAUGAAAAACCUCCUCCUGGGCUUAUCAAGGAAGAUGAGACUAAGCCAGAAGACUGUAUACCAGACGUACCAGGCAAUGAACACGCCAGGGAAUUUCUGGCUCACGCCCCAACUAAAGGACUUUGGAUGCCCCUGGGGAAAGAAGUCAAAGUCAUGCAGUGUUGGCGUUGUAAACGGCAUGGUCACCGAACAGGCGACAAAGAAUGCCCUUUUUUUAUCAAAGGCAACCAAAAGUUAGAACAGUUCAUAGUAGUAAGUAGAACCCCAUCGUGUCAAUUUACAUUCAUCAGAGAUGGUGAAUAUCAAUGAAUCAGGCACUAAUUCAGUGAACUGGAAGGUCACAUAAAAUCCAUGCCCGGAAGCCUGUCGGUUAGUGUCCAGCGUUAACUACGUCACUGUUGAAUCACACUGUGUGACAGGAUACAGCAGUUAAAACAGUUACUGGAGCAUUCCACUUCAGAUGAAGAUGAGAGCAGCUCUAGUUCCUCAGAAGGUAAAGAGAAAAACAAGAAAAAGAAGAAGAAAGAAAAGCAUAAGAAAAAGAAGAAAGAAAAGAAAAGAAAGAAAAAACGAAAGCAUAAGUCUUCCAAGUGAAAUGAGAGUUGAGAGUUGGACUAACAAGAACUUGACUUGUUCAACAUUCUGUUCUCAAAGAUCAGAGGAAUGCGGAACUGGAGAGGAACGAGAGAGAGAGAGAGAGAGAGAGAGAGAG
This is an RNA transcript of Equus quagga, 1030 nucleotides long. It is a transcript of the gene named retinitis pigmentosa 9 protein-like, with no coding region annotated. Lineage: Eukaryota; Metazoa; Chordata; Mammalia; Perissodactyla; Equidae. The transcript has 5 exons. The record is from RefSeq and is a predicted model, not a curated record.